Molecule: long non-coding RNA, 1443 nt
Filed under: Homo sapiens (human)
Lineage: Eukaryota; Metazoa; Chordata; Mammalia; Primates; Hominidae
Description: HSALNT0313445
Source: RNAcentral
UGGGCGACAGAGAGAGACUCCAUCUCAAAAACAAAACAAAACAAAACAAAAAAAACAAAAAGUGAAGCCAACUCAAUUGUCUCAUAGAACUGAUCUUUACGGUGUUUUUAAAUAAACAUAGAAAUUGGCCCUCCCAGUCUUAAAACUUCAAAAACUUACAUUUGUCUUACCUCAGUUCCUUUCUCAGGAAUCCAAUCAUCAAGGCUCCCAGAUAGUAUCAAUGAACGGAAACUUACCAGAUCACGAUAUCUGGACAAUGAGAUGUCAGAUCCCCCUCAUCCAUCCUGAUUACCUAACUGACUACCUGCUUCCUGUUGGCCAACUACUCUUCCUUACCCCUCCCUAAUUCUUGUUUUCCCACAAAUGGUUACAUUUCUGUCCUGCUAUAGAAGCCCUUAAUUUUAAUUGGUCGAGGAGAUGGAUUUGAGACUGAUUUUUUGCUCUCCUUGGCUGUUGCACCUGAAUAGCCUUUUUCCCUGGCAAUACUUUUUGUCUCAGUGAUUGGCUUUCUGUGCAGUGAGCAAUGGGACCAAACUUCUGGUGUUUUGGUAACAAAUUUUGGUUUCCUGACUGUGAAUGCAUUGCUUGUGACUCAGCUGCCAUGAGCUGGGAGAGUUUCAAAAGCCCUCUAAGCAGCUACCUGACCAUUUUGGCCAGAGGUGGAUUUUCGUCUCUCCCCAUUUGGGCCCACUUCUGCCAACCCCAACCAUGUUCCUGAUUGCCUAGGAAGAACAGCCUUUGAAAUUUGACGUCUAUGUACAGAAAGGUACAAACUGUUGCCUAAGGAUACAGGGUGUGUGGCUGGUGGCCUCAACAGGCCCCACGGCUCAGGCACUCAGACCCAAGCUGGUCCCUCAGCCCAUAUUACUAAAUGCCUGACUUCAGAAAAAAAACGUAAACAAAAGACAGAGAUUGGAAGCAUCAGAAUUUUAUUCCAGUGACUCAAUCCCCAUUGUGUGAAGUAGACCAGAAUGAAUAAAUUGAACUUACUCAGCACCUCAAUUAUUAAAUGUAUCCACAGAAAUUCAUUCUGUCAAGUUAACUGUGGAGGUUGUUGUUGCUAUUGCAGACUAAAUGGUUUUCCUGGGAACUCUGACUCUGGCCACAAGAUCAAGACUGACAAAUUUCCUUUCUCUGUUUAUGGAGGGAGACUUCACAACAUUCACUGAAAGAGGAGCAAAGGACCUGGUUUUUGCCAUGACUGGCUUUGGCCCCGUGAAUGAAUGUUUUUCUGGCAUUGGAAAGCGGAUAGCAAAGAGAGCAGAACCACAAAUGGGCUAUGAGGAAAUGUGUUCAAUGAAGAAAACAAAAUCUCUGACAAGAUCCAACAUAGGACAACAUCUCAGCAUCUUCUGUGAUUUGUGAACCCAAGUAAAGCACUUCUUAGAGUUAUCUGGCACAUUCGCAACUAAUAGCUUUCUGUGAAUAAAUACUGUGGCAACC